GAUCGCCGUGUGCGGUGAAAGCCGCCUGCAUGGUGAAGGCUCGAAUCGAAAACUAUUCUAUUUGGAUAGUAUAAGACGAGAAU
RNAcentral lists this unclassified non-coding RNA (83 nucleotides) under Salibacterium qingdaonense. Lineage: Bacteria; Bacillati; Bacillota; Bacilli; Caryophanales; Bacillaceae. The record is from RNAcentral.